AUCAUCGAAUCUUUGAACGCAUCUUGCGCCUUUUGGUAUUCCUAAAGGCACACCUGUUUGAGUG
RNAcentral lists this ribosomal RNA (64 nucleotides) under Uromyces sporobolicola. Its description in RNAcentral is "partial 5.8S ribosomal RNA". It matches the Rfam family "5.8S ribosomal RNA", at positions 88 to 151 of the family's 154-position model. Rfam says of the family: 5.8S ribosomal RNA (5.8S rRNA) is a component of the large subunit of the eukaryotic ribosome. It is transcribed by RNA polymerase I as part of the 45S precursor that also contains 18S and 28S rRNA. Lineage: Eukaryota; Fungi; Basidiomycota; Pucciniomycetes; Pucciniales; Pucciniaceae. The record is from RNAcentral.